CCUACGGGAGGCUGCAGUGGGGGAUAUUGCACAAUGGGGGAAACCCUGAUGCAGCGACGCCGCGUGUGGGAAGACGGUCCUCUGGAUUGUAAACCACUGUCCCCAGGGACGAAGAUGACGGUACCUGGGGAGGAAGCGCCGGCUAACUACGUGCCAGCAGCCGCGGUAAUACGUAGGGAGCGAGCGUUGUCCGGAAUUACGGGGGGGAAAGGGAGCGUAGGCGGGGAUGCAAGUUGGGUGUCAAAACUACCGGCUCAACUGGUAGUCGCACUCAAAACUGCAGCUCUUGAGUGAAGUAGAGGCAGGCGGCAUUCCUAGUGUAGCGGUGAAAUUCGUAGAUAUUAGGCGGAACCCCAGUGGCGAAGGCGGCCUGCUGGGCUUUUACUGACGCUGAGGCUCGACAGUGUGGGGAGCACACCGGAUUAGAUACCCUGGUAGUC
Molecule: ribosomal RNA, 440 nt
Filed under: uncultured bacterium
Lineage: Bacteria
Description: partial 16S ribosomal RNA
Rfam family: Bacterial small subunit ribosomal RNA
Source: RNAcentral